This 763-nucleotide ribosomal RNA is filed under the name uncultured Streptococcus sp. RNAcentral describes it as "bacterial SSU rRNA". It matches the Rfam family "Bacterial small subunit ribosomal RNA", at positions 28 to 776 of the family's 1533-position model. Lineage: Bacteria; Bacillati; Bacillota; Bacilli; Lactobacillales; Streptococcaceae. The record is from RNAcentral.
GACGAACGCUGGCGGCGUGCCUAAUACAUGCAAGUAGAACGCUGAGGGAGGAGCUUGCUCUUCUGGAUGAGUUGCGAACGGGUGAGUAACGCGUAGGUAACCUGCCUGGUAGCGGGGGAUAACUAUUGGAAACGAUAGCUAAUACCGCAUAACAGUAGAUAUUGCAUGAUAUCUGCUUGAAAGGUGCAAAUGCAUCACUACCAGAUGGACCUGCGUUGUAUUAGCUAGUUGGUGAGGUAACGGCUCACCAAGGCGACGAUACAUAGCCGACCUGAGAGGGUGAUCGGCCACACUGGGACUGAGACACGGCCCAGACUCCUACGGGAGGCAGCAGUAGGGAAUCUUCGGCAAUGGACGGAAGUCUGACCGAGCAACGCCGCGUGAGUGAAGAAGGUUUUCGGAUCGUAAAGCUCUGUUGUAAGAGAAGAACGAGUGUGAGAGUGGAAAGUUCACACUGUGACGGUAUCUUACCAGAAAGGGACGGCUAACUACGUGCCAGCAGCCGCGGUAAUACGUAGGUCCCGAGCGUUGUCCGGAUUUAUUGGGCGUAAAGCGAGCGCAGGCGGUUAGAUAAGUCUGAAGUUAAAGGCUGUGGCUUAACCAUAGUACGCUUUGGAAACUGUUUAACUUGAGUGCAAGAGGGGAGAGUGGAAUUCCAUGUGUAGCGGUGAAAGGCGUAGAUAUAUGGAGGAACACCGGUGGCGAAAGCGGCUCUCUGGCUUGUAACUGACGCUGAGGCUCGAAAGCGUGGGGAGCAAACAGG